GAUGAACGCUGGCGGCGUGCCUAAUACAUGCAAGUAGAACGCUGAAGGAGGAGCUUGCUCUUCUGGAUGAGUUGCGAACGGGUGAGUAACGCGUAGGUAACCUGCCUGGUAGCGGGGGAUAACUAUUGGAAACGAUAGCUAAUACCGCAUGACAACAGUUAUUGCAUGAUAACUGUUUAAAAGGGGCAACUGCUCCACUACCAGAUGGACCUGCGUUGUAUUAGCUAGUUGGUGAGGUAACGGCUCACCAAGGCGACGAUACAUAGCCGACCUGAGAGGGGGAUCGGCCACACUGGGACUGAGACACGGCCCAGACUCCUACGGGAGGCAGCAGUAGGGAAUCUGCGGCAAUGGACGGAAGUCUGACCGAGCAACGCCGCGUGAGUGAAGAAGGUUUUCGGAUCGUAAAGCUCUGUUGUAAGAGAAGAACGAGUGUGAGAGUGGAAAGUUCACACUGUGACGGUAUCUUACCAGAAAGGGACGGCUAACUACGUG
Molecule: ribosomal RNA, 495 nt
Filed under: uncultured bacterium
Lineage: Bacteria
Description: partial 16S ribosomal RNA
Rfam family: Bacterial small subunit ribosomal RNA
Source: RNAcentral